GAUUGCGGAGCCGCGGCGGAUCGUUCCAAGCGGGUGCAGAGGGAAAAGGAAGGAGAGCCGAUAGCGGCAGCCUUUUUCUUUCCCUUUUGCAAGCAAUGGGGCAAAGAAAUCGAGGUUCGAUGACAUCCUGUUGAUUUCAAAUUCCAGGGAAGAAGCCGCGUACUGCUGUAACAGAGAGACAUGCAGAGGCUGACAGAUAUAUUGCGGAAUUAUAAGCCAACCGAUGAAGGACAUGAAAAUGUGUGAAAGAAUUCCCCAAUACUGGGAGGCAUAGAAUCUGCAUUCAUUCCUUCAGAGUACAGAAAAGCUGACACUAUUAUAACCCCUGUUCCAUGCAAGUAGACGGGGCUGAUGCAAUUAAAACACAUUGUGAAAGCUGUAGAAUCCACAUCGUGGUCAGAUUAAAACCCAUAGAACACCAGUCAAUGUGCUUGGUGAACUGAAGGAUUUACUGUACAGAACAACCCCCCCUUCAAAAACAGCAUAAUAUGAUGGCAACUCUAUUGGCAAAACACUAUUAAAACUGCAUGUAAGCAAGGCCUUAUUUUGCACAAGUUUAAAUUCCUCUAGAACAGGACCAUUUUAAUGUUAUGUUGACUUAAAAACUGCAGCACAAAUCUCUGGCUAAGAGCUUCGGUAUGGGAUUGGUCUGAACUUUGAGUGCUAAAAUGGUUGUCUCAGUUCAUAUGUCAGCCCUAAAAGGACUUCAGUCCAGGUUGGCCUACCAUUUUGCUGGAUUCAGGGUGAUGCAAGGGUAUCACUGUUCACUUUAACCCACUAUUCACUUCAAUCUAAAGGGCUCCCCAACCUUCCAAAUUCAAAGGAAUGGCUAUAAGUCAUGAUGGCUGAAUACCACCCCCAAGAUCAGAGGCAGCUUACCUCUGAAUAUCAGCCACUGGAAUCCAGGCACUCUUAGAGGAAACAGAUUUUCUAGAUCCAUUUCAAUCUGGAUUCAAGCCUGAGUUUGGUACAGAAACUGCCUUGGUUGCCCUGUACAAUGACCUGUGCCGGGAGAAAGACUCAGGGAUUGUGACUCUGUUGAUCCUCCUUGACCUUUUAGCGCCUUUCGAUACCAUAAACCACCGUAUCCUUCUGGGGCGACCAUCUGAGUUGAGUGUUGGGGGCACCGCACUGCAAUGGUUCCAUUCUUACUUGCAUGGCUGGCUGCAGAAGAUGGUUUAUUUAUUUAUUUAUUAUUUGGUUUAUAUCCCACCUUUCCUCCCCGUAGGAGCCCAGGGCAGCAAACAAAAGCAACGUUGCCUGACUCCGUGGUUGCUCCAGUAUGGGGUCCUACAGGGGUCAGUUCUGUCCCCCAUGUUGUUUAACAUCUACAUGAAACGCUGAGUGGGAUCAUAUGGAGUUUUGGAGUGUGUUAUCAAUGUCAUCAAUAUGCUGAUGACAUGCAGCUCCAUUUCUCCUUGUCAUCUUCUGCAGAUGAGGCAGUGCUUGACUGUGAUAAUGGACUGGACAAGGGCCAAUAAACUGGAGCUUAAUCCAAACAAGACUGAGAUGCUGUUGGUGGGUGGUUCCUCUGACCAGCUAAGUGGUGGGCGGCCUGCUCUAGAUGGGGUCACACUUGCUCUGAAGGAGCAGGUUUGUAGUUUGAGGGGCUCUCCUGGAUCCAUUGCUGCUGCUUGAGGUGCAGGUGGCCUCAGUGGUGUGGAGUGCCUUACAUCAGCUUAGGUUGAUGGCCCAACUGCAACCCUAUCUGGACAGGUAUAACCUGGCUACAGUAAUCUAUGCUCUGGUAAUUUCAAGGUUGGAUUAUUGCAAUGCACUUUACGUGGGGCUGCCUUUGAAAACAGUUUGGACACUUCAGUUGGUCCAGAAUGUGGCUGCCUGAUUGUUGAUGGGUUCAAUGCGAACAGAGCAUAUAACACCAAUCCUGUUCCAGUUACACUGGUGGCCUCUAUGUUUCUGAGCCCAAAUCAAAGUUCUGGUUUGACCUAUAAAGCCCUUUAUGGCUCAGGACCCCAAUAUCUUCUGGAAUGCCUCCCCAAUAUGAACCUGCCCAGACCCUUAUGUUUUCUUCUGAGGGUCUUCUUUGUUGGAGUAAACAAAUAUUGCAUGGUCACUUUAAGGGAUAUUUGGGGAAUAUCCCAUGUACCUGUUUACCAUGAUGUAACUUCCUAAUCGGUGGGGUUUAGUCACCUGACUUCCUCCUCCUUUGUCCUGGAGGAUUUUUGAAUAUUCUUCAUUGCUGAUCUUUCUGCCAUUGAGAGAGGCUGCAUGGCACAGAUGCUUUCUCUAAGAGCAUCAAUACUAAACCACCAAGAUGGACUGAGACUUCUAUAUUUUUCUUUCUUCUAAGCUAGAGCCUAUCUUCUUCUGAACAUGUGAAGAGGUUGUCCCUCCUCUGAGGGUGGUGAUAAGAGAGAGGGCCUUUUCCAUUGUGGCUCUCUAUCCGUGGAAUACGAUCCUCACUGAGGUUCACAUGACACCGUCACUGACAUCUUCAGCACCAGGAAGAAGUCAUCUGGAAUUUUUAAAAAAUUGAACCUGGAUGACACCAGGAAAGUUCCAGGCCAAACUCUAAUGAAAUGUCAGCACAGUAUGAAGACAAGAAAACGGGGAUGAACUUGAUGAUUUCCACUUGCUUUUUAAACAAUUAGCACUCAUUUAUUUAUUUAUAGUUAUCAUUUUGGCUGUUCUCAGCAACAGUAACUUGGAUGACUUGUCUGCUCCUCCCUGCAUGAAAAAUGAAGUUUGAAAGAACGUUCAUUACCUUCAUGGUAUGUGUUGACUCGGUUGAUUCUUCAUCUGCCAAAGGGUAUACCCUGGCUUCUGUCUCAUCUAGAGACUUCUGGUAAGAAAAGUAAUUGAUCAAAUUACCUCGCCUGUAAUCCCACACAGACUGCUUGCUACCACAGCUUGUUAACCUUCUACACAAACAGUUUAUUUAGCUUUCAGAAUGACAUCAUGAAAAUCACCUCCAAUACAUCAAAUGGAUAUGAAAAGAAACCCAGAUUCAAUCUGCCUCAAAGCUAUGUUAUUUUAAAGAUUAAAAUUUAGGCUUUUAGUGCAUAGUUAGUGAGUUUAGUGUACAAUUUCUAUUCUGUUUUUUGUUUGUUAGUAAUGCUUUAUUUCCUGCAGUUUUGAAACAGACAACCAUGCCAAUUCAACCUCCCAAGUGCAAACUAAAGGGUGUAAUCUAGCCAAAGUUAAGUGCUUAACCAACUCUGUCUUAUCCUAACCUCUAUUUUCUUGUUUGGAAGAGGGUGGACCUUUGAUUAUUUGGAGCGACUCAGGUAUGUUUCCAUGUUAUGGUGACAGACAAUGUCAUCCAUUCUCUUCCUAUGUACCUGGCCUGGUCUCAUGUGAAGCAGGCAGUCCAGAGAUAUCUUCCUCAUGACCAAAUUUACAUACUUCCAUUGUGGGGCAAAAUUAAGAAUCUGGACAUGUUUGAAAUGUUUGACUUUCCCUCCAGGAAACACGGCAAGGGAAUUAUGAGUCACUCACAUUCUAUGUUGCCAUUCUGGGUAAAAGACUUUUCAAAUAGGAACAUUUACCUGUUUCAUGGACCUUACUGACAAUACCUAUUUUAUGUACCAAGAGAUGCCAUUUUUGAAAAGUUGCUGCUUAGGGUCUGUGAACAUGUCAGUGUUUUCUUUUAAAAAUAUGUACUGUG
This is a long non-coding RNA of Rhineura floridana, 3628 nucleotides long. RefSeq lists it as uncharacterized. The transcript has 6 exons. Lineage: Eukaryota; Metazoa; Chordata; Lepidosauria; Squamata; Rhineuridae. The record is from RefSeq and is a predicted model, not a curated record.